Pelobates cultripes (western spadefoot toad) is the source of this 411-nucleotide non-coding RNA. Lineage: Eukaryota; Metazoa; Chordata; Amphibia; Anura; Pelobatidae. The record is from the annotation of a GenBank genome assembly.
GGCAGGGUUAAUCCUAGAUGGACCUGGCACCCAAACCACUUCAUUAAGCUGAAGUGGUCUGGGUACCUAUAGUGGUCCUUUAACCCCUUAAGGACCAAACUUCUGGAAUAAAAGGGAAUCAUGACAUGUCACACAUGGCAUGUGUUCUUAAGGCCUAGGAUAAUCGGUGGUGGUCAACCGUACAUGAUUUCGAAGGGGAGAGAGACCAGUAAAUUGUGUUGGGGCACUCCUGAUCUGGAACAAGGCAAUGGGGAGAAAGACAUCCCGCUUCUUGGCACAUUUUAGCCAGAUGUAGCUUCAGUGUUUGGUUCAUUCGCUCAACUUUUCCUGAGCUUUGAGGCCUAUAGGCAAUGUGCAGUUUCCAUUUAAGAUUCAGGCUGGUGGAAAACUGAGGCUGGUGGCUAAUUCCUG